UUAGAGUAUCUACUUCUGAAUUAUUGAAGUAAUGGUGACCUUGAUACAAAAGGAAAGUCAGAAGAAGGACCAUAUUGGGAUGAAUUUGCAGAUGGGUUAAACCUCUAGGCAACAGAUACCUGCAUAGUUCAUUUGGACCAAGAGGGCAUUCCUGAUAUCACUUCUUUUCAUUUCAUUGUGACAACUGCGGACUCUAAGAUCCAAGUGUAUCAGUAACACGUAUUCAUUUAUUGUUUCUAUGUGGUAUGAGAAGAAACAGAAGUCUCAUCUUCUUAGCUUGCUCCAUGAUACGAAAUCUUCACACCAGCAACUCCUCACCCAUGAACACAGACCAUGUUGAAAAUCUGUCUGGCCAGGGGUGUUAAGUGAGCUUUCCUGUGCACUCGACCAGAUAAUGCUGCCAGGGUUUCUGUACGUGACAUCAAGAUUGGAAGCCCUGAAGCUGGAGUCUUGGACAUGUCAGUGUCCCAUCUGGGAGAGGGUGAUCUCUUACAGCACACUUCCUCUUCCAACCUCCUUACCAAGACAUUCAUCACCACAUGCAUUCUUGACAUCCCACCCCCUCCAAGAAGCUGCAUGGUUUGGGGACAGUGAUGUUCUCUGCUGAAAUAAUGAUUUCCUGUCUCCUUUUCUGCUGGUGGUGGACUUGGGGAAUAUCUCAUCAAUAGGGCUCUUGGAUUCAGGUAUGGAGACCUCUGCCCUGAGCUCCACACCUCAGAAGACC
RNAcentral lists this long non-coding RNA (724 nucleotides) under Sus scrofa (pig). RNAcentral's name for it is "lncRNA (ENSSSCG00050064074.1)". Lineage: Eukaryota; Metazoa; Chordata; Mammalia; Artiodactyla; Suidae. The record is from RNAcentral.